GAUGAACGCUAGCUACAGGCUUAACACAUGCAGGUCGAGGGGAAACGAUAUUGGAAGCCUGCUUCCGAUAGGCGUCGACCGGCGCACGGGUGAGUAACGCGUAUCCAACCUGCCCACCACUUGGGGAUAACCUUGCGAAAGUAAGACUAAUACCCAAUGAUAUCCCUAGAAGACAGCUGAAGGAGAUUAAAGAUUCAUCGGUGAUGGAUGGGGAUGCGUCUGACUAGCUUGUUGGCGGGGUAACGGCCCACCAAGGCGACGAUCAGGAGGGGUUCUGAGAGGAAGGUCACCCACAUUGGAACUGAGACACGGUCCAAACUCCUACGGGAGGCAGCAGUGAGGAAUAUUGGUCAAUGGGCGAGAGCCUGAACCAGCCAAGCAGCGUGCAGGAUGACGGCCCUAUGGGUUGUAAACUGCUUUUAUAAGGGAAUAAAGUGAGUCUCGUGAGACUUUUUGCAUGUACCUUAUGAAUAAGGACCGGCUAAUUCCGUGCCAGCAGCCGCAGUAA
Molecule: ribosomal RNA, 508 nt
Filed under: uncultured bacterium
Lineage: Bacteria
Description: partial 16S ribosomal RNA
Rfam family: Bacterial small subunit ribosomal RNA
Source: RNAcentral